This is a long non-coding RNA of Paramacrobiotus metropolitanus, 579 nucleotides long. RefSeq lists it as uncharacterized. The transcript has 3 exons. The record is from RefSeq and is a predicted model, not a curated record. Lineage: Eukaryota; Metazoa; Tardigrada; Eutardigrada; Parachela; Macrobiotidae.
CUCAGGUUCAGUGCACAUAGAGACAUAACAUUAUUGUGGUAGUUACCAUUCAGACAUCAAACGAUAGUCACUUUGAACUUAAAAUGUAGUAUCCUGCCAUCAAUCAUCGUUUGUUAUGCAGACGACACACUGAAACUUACAAUUGCGAAAGGACUACGAAUAAUUUUAUUGAUUGAACGUUCCGGAACAUUACUGAGCGCGUUUGCAUUAAUUUGUCAUAGCGCUUGAAAGUGUACCGAUAUUGGACAUUAUGGAUGACCAUUGGGAUCCCAGUAGUGGGCCGGGCAGUUGGUGCAAAGAUGAUCGUGAAGUGCUGAACAGGUUACAAUCACCCCCGGAAAAAGAGCGGCAGUGGGCUAAGAGAAAUUUUGAUGCUUACCGAAGCGACAGCAGCGCGAAAUCGACGCCACAGAAAAAACAUCCCACAGUAACUUUGCGUUCAGACGCCGACGUCGAACAUAGCGGAACUGCAAGCCAUCAACCGAGACCCCAGACUGGGCGUCGCCGGUUACCGUUCCCAUCUGACGAGAGCCGAAGAUCGCCGUUAAGUUUAGCGAGCGCAAGCGCCAUUUUUUUUGA